AUUUUAUUAGUAUAACAAGUAUAAUUAACUUCCAAUUAAUGGGUUUAAUUUUUAAAUAAAAUA
Molecule: transfer RNA, 63 nt
Filed under: Crenidorsum sp.
Lineage: Eukaryota; Metazoa; Arthropoda; Insecta; Hemiptera; Aleyrodidae
Description: tRNA-Gly
Source: RNAcentral